RNAcentral lists this ribosomal RNA (253 nucleotides) under uncultured bacterium. RNAcentral's name for it is "partial 16S ribosomal RNA". It matches the Rfam family "Bacterial small subunit ribosomal RNA", at positions 524 to 776 of the family's 1533-position model. The record is from RNAcentral.
UACGUAGGGUGCAAGCGUUAAUCGGAAUUACUGGGCGUAAAGCGUGCGCAGGCGGUUCGUUGUGUCGGCGGUGAAAGCCCCGGGCUUAACCUGGGAAUGGCCGUUGAAACUGGCGAACUGGAGUGUGGCAGAGGGGGGUGGAAUUCCGCGUGUAGCAGUGAAAUGCGUAGAGAUGCGGAGGAACACCGAUGGCGAAGGCAGCCCCCUGGGCUAACACUGACGCUGAGACGCGAAGGCGUGGGGAGCGAACGGG